Non-coding RNA from Mycena rebaudengoi, 98 nucleotides. The record is from the annotation of a GenBank genome assembly. NCBI's taxonomy places the organism in Eukaryota, Fungi, Basidiomycota, Agaricomycetes, Agaricales, Mycenaceae.
GCCUUGGUGGAUCAAUGGGAAGAUCAUCCCUUCUCCAUGGACUGUGUGCUACAUUGCGUACCUAUGGGAAGACGGAGGUUCGAAUCCUUCUCAAGGCA